CUCCAUCAGAGUGUGUUGGGACAGGUAUGAUGUGUACUGUAUCUGUGGAUUCACUUACCCUCCAUCAGAGUGUGUUGGGACAGGUAUGAUGCCUACUGUAUCUGUGGAUUAUCUUACCCUCCAUCAGAGUGUGUGGGGACAGGUAUGAUGUGUACUGUAUCUGUGGAUUAACUUACCCUCCAUCAGAGUGUGUUGGUUUGCUGCUUUGUUGCACACAGCUGUGUGC
Alosa sapidissima (American shad) is the source of this 226-nucleotide long non-coding RNA. RefSeq lists it as uncharacterized. Lineage: Eukaryota; Metazoa; Chordata; Actinopteri; Clupeiformes; Clupeidae. The record is from RefSeq and is a predicted model, not a curated record. The transcript has 2 exons.